UGCGGAAGUGGCGGAAUUGGUAUACGCGCUAUCUUGAGGUGGUAGUGGAGCUUUCCUUAGGGGUUCGAGUCCCCUCUUUCGCAA
RNAcentral lists this transfer RNA (84 nucleotides) under Chlamydia trachomatis. RNAcentral describes it as "tRNA-Leu(gag)". It matches the Rfam family "tRNA". From Rfam's summary of the family: Transfer RNA (tRNA) molecules are approximately 80 nucleotides in length. Their secondary structure includes four short double-helical elements and three loops (D, anti-codon, and T loops). Lineage: Bacteria; Pseudomonadati; Chlamydiota; Chlamydiia; Chlamydiales; Chlamydiaceae. RNAcentral also lists the same sequence under 36 other names. The record is from RNAcentral.